AGUUGCGGCCAUACCAAGAAGAAAACACAGUUCCCCGUCCGAUCAACAUCAGUUAAGCUUCUUUGGGCCUACUUAGUACUGCGGUGGGAGACCACGCUGGAAUCGUAGGUGCUGCAAUUA
This is a ribosomal RNA of Lipomyces starkeyi NRRL Y-11557, 120 nucleotides long. Lineage: Eukaryota; Fungi; Ascomycota; Lipomycetes; Lipomycetales; Lipomycetaceae. The record is from Rfam.